AGCACACUUUUACUCUACGCAACUGUUGCUUUUUCAUGAUCUUCAGGAAUUUUACUGGGAUAAUUAUCCAAAUAAAUUGCAAGCAUUCUAUCCAAAUGGAGCUCUUUCUGAGAUGAAGAGAAUUCUCAAUGUCAAGAUUUGAACAAGAAGAGAAUGGAAUACACAAUAUGGACAUCCAUAAAAAUUCAUCAGAGAGCAUUUUACUACUGAGCUGCAAAGGGAAAAACUUAAAAUGGAUAUGAAAAGUGAAGAAAGUGAUCAUAGGAGAAAACCAUUUCAGAUCAACCACCUCAGAAGAGCCAGAUUCCACUUCUGUGGCCAGGACUUUUACAUUAUGGCUGGUCCGAUUGUUUUACCCUGCGUUCUAUGCUACUAAACCUUGGAUCAUUCCUAAAGUACAAAUUCUGUUCUCGAACCACAAACAAGGCUAAAAGAUCGGAGGAAAUUCAGUGAAUAUACAGGAUUGGGGUUGUGUAUUUUUAAAAGUAUUGAGCUUUAUAAUGUAAUUAUUCAAGAAAUAGAAUCAUGGUUUUUUUAUGAUGUUGCCAGCAUUUUAAAUUACAUGUUUAUUAAGUGGCAUUGCUCAAAUAACUACAGAGUAUGCGUGGAAAUAUUUGCUGUCUGAAUAGUUUGGAGAUUCAAAGAGAAAAAUCAAGCUUCAGAGGUAUUAAAUUAUGACAUGCAGAAAA
RNAcentral lists this long non-coding RNA (689 nucleotides) under Homo sapiens (human). RNAcentral's name for it is "mir-99a-let-7c cluster host gene". Lineage: Eukaryota; Metazoa; Chordata; Mammalia; Primates; Hominidae. The record is from RNAcentral.